This 441-nucleotide ribosomal RNA is filed under the name uncultured bacterium. Its description in RNAcentral is "partial 16S ribosomal RNA". It matches the Rfam family "Bacterial small subunit ribosomal RNA", at positions 339 to 795 of the family's 1533-position model. The record is from RNAcentral.
CUACGGGGGGCAGCAGUGGGGAAUAUUGGGCAAUGGGCGCAAGCCUGACCCAGCAACGCCGCGUGAGGGAAGAAGGUUUUCGGAUUGUAAACCUCUGUCCUUGGGGACGAAGAAGUGACGGUACCCAAGGAGAAAGCUCCGGCUAACUACGUGCCAGCAGCCGCGGUAAUACGUAGGGAGCAAGCGUUGUCCGGAAUUACUGGGCGUAAAGGGUGCGUAGGCGGCAUAUUAAGUCAGGUGUGAAAUACUCGGGCUCAACCCGAGGGGUGCAUUUGAAACUGAUAAGCUUGAGUGUGAGAGAGGAAAGUGGAAUUCCUAGUGUAGCGGUGGAAUGCGUAGAUAUUAGGAGGAACACCAGUGGCGAAGGCGACUUUCUGGCUCAUAACUGACGCUGAGGCACGAAAGCGUGGGGAGCAAACAGGAUUAGAUACCCCCGUAGUC